AGCCCCGCUGCGUGAGCGUCUCCUCGGCGUCGAGGCAGGCUGUGGCCCUCUCAGGCGUUAGCCGGCAUCGUCCUCACUCCCUGCAAGGCUUUGAUGGGAGAACUCAGAAUGUCCCACAGAAUGGAAACUGUAUACUGCUAUCUGCAAGUGAACACAAUGGCAUAGAAGAAGGGCCAUCAGGAUAGAGACAUCUCAAAAUCAUUGUGGUCCCAAUGGGUGAUCUGCCCUACUCUACCUAGGCAAUGCUGCCCUCAAUCACGAAUUCCAAUUAGAGGUAACCGAAAAGCCUCAGAGCCAACUUUCUGCUAAAACAGAGACCAAGCAAUUAAGGUUUCUCAAAAAAAAAAAAAAAAAAAAAAAAAGAAGAAGAAGAA
Long non-coding RNA from Lutra lutra (Eurasian river otter), 374 nucleotides. RefSeq lists it as uncharacterized. Lineage: Eukaryota; Metazoa; Chordata; Mammalia; Carnivora; Mustelidae. The transcript is spliced from 3 exons. The record is from RefSeq and is a predicted model, not a curated record.